GGGUUGUGAGGUUAAGCGACUAAGCGUACACGGUGGAUGCCCUGGCAGUCAGAGGCGAUGAAGGACGUGCUAAUCUGCGAAAAGCGUCGGUAAGGUGAUAUGAACCGUUAUAGCCGGCGAUGUCCGAAUGGGGAAACCCAGUGCAAUUCGUUGCACUAUCGUUAACUGAAUACAUAGGUUAACGAGGCGAACCGGGGGAACUGAAACAUCUAAGUACCCCGAGGAAAAGAAAUCAACCGAGAUUCCCCCAGUAGCGGCGAGCGAACGGGGAGCAGCCCAGAGUCUGAAUCAGCUUGUGUGUUAGUGGAACGGUCUGGAAAGUCCGACGGUACAGGGUGAUAGUCCCGUACACCAAAAUGCACAGGCUGUGAACUCGAAGAGUAGGGCGGGACACGUGGUAUCCUGUCUGAAUAUGGGGGGACCAUCCUCCAAGGCUAAAUACUCCUGACUGACCGAUAGUGAACCAGUACCGUGAGGGAAAGGCGAAAAGAACCCCGGCGAGGGGAGUGAAAAAGAACCUGAAACCGUGUACGUACAAGCAGUGGGAGCACCUUCGGGUGUGACUGCGUACCUUUUGUAUAAUGGGUCAGCGACUUAUAUUCUGUAGCAAGGUUAACCGUAUAGGGGAGCCGCAGGGAAACCGAGUCUUAACUGGGCGUUAAGUUGCAGGGUAUAGACCCGAAACCCGGUGAUCUAGCCAUGGGCAGGUUGAAGGUUGGGUAACACUAACUGGAGGACCGAACCGACUAAUGUUGAAAAAUUAGCGGAUGACUUGUGGCUGGGGGUGAAAGGCCAAUCAAACCGGGAGAUAGCUGGUUCUCCCCGAAAGCUAUUUAGGUAGCGCCUCGUGAAUUCAUCUUCGGGGGUAGAGCACUGUUUCGGCUAGGGGGUCAUCCCGACUUACCAACCCGAUGCAAACUACGAAUACCGAAGAAUGUUAUCACGGGAGACACACGGCGGGUGCUAACGUCCGUCGUGAAGAGGGAAACAACCCAGACCGCCAGCUAAGGUCCCAAAGUCAUGGUUAAGUGGGAAACGAUGUGGGAAGGCACAGACAGCCAGGAUGUUGGCUUAGAAGCAGCCAUCAUUUAAAGAAAGCGUAAUAGCUCACUGGUCGAGUCGGCCUGCGCGGAAGAUGUAACGGGGCUAAACCAUGCACCGAAGCUGCGGCAGCGACACUAUGUGUUGUUGGGUAGGGGAGCGUUCUGUAAGCCUGCGAAGGUGACCUGUGAGGGUUGCUGGAGGUAUCAGAAGUGCGAAUGCUGACAUAAGUAACGAUAAAGCGGGUGAAAAGCCCGCUCGCCGGAAGACCAAGGGUUCCUGUCCAACGUUAAUCGGGGCAGGGUGAGUCGACCCCUAAGGCGAGGCCGAAAGGCGUAGUCGAUGGGAAACAGGUUAAUAUUCCUGUACUUGGUGUUACUGCGAAGGGGGGACGGAGAAGGCUAUGUUAGCCGGGCGACGGUUGUCCCGGUUUAAGCAUGUAGGCUGAUUGUCCAGGCAAAUCCGGAUAAUCAAGGCUGAGGUGUGAUGACGAGGCACUACGGUGCUGAAGUAACAAAUGCCCUGCUUCCAGGAAAAGCCUCUAAGCAUCAGGUAACAUUAAAUCGUACCCCAAACCGACACAGGUGGUCAGGUAGAGAAUACCAAGGCGCUUGAGAGAACUCGGGUGAAGGAACUAGGCAAAAUGGUGCCGUAACUUCGGGAGAAGGCACGCUGGUGUGUAGGUGAAGUCCCUGCGGAUGGAGCUGAGACCAGUCGAAGAUACCAGCUGGCUGCAACUGUUUAUUAAAAACACAGCACUGUGCAAACACGAAAGUGGACGUAUACGGUGUGACGCCUGCCCGGUGCCGGAAGGUUAAUUGAUGGGGUUAUCCGUAAGGAGAAGCUCUUGAUCGAAGCCCCGGUAAACGGCGGCCGUAACUAUAACGGUCCUAAGGUAGCGAAAUUCCUUGUCGGGUAAGUUCCGACCUGCACGAAUGGCGUAAUGAUGGCCAGGCUGUCUCCACCCGAGACUCAGUGAAAUUGAACUCGCUGUGAAGAUGCAGUGUACCCGCGGCAAGACGGAAAGACCCCGUGAACCUUUACUAUAGCUUGACACUGAACAUUGAGCCUUGAUGUGUAGGAUAGGUGGGAGGCUUUGAAGCGUGGACGCCAGUCUGCGUGGAGCCAACCUUGAAAUACCACCCUUUAAUGUUUGAUGUUCUAACGUUGGCCCCUUACCGGGGUUGCGGACAGUGUCUGGUGGGUAGUUUGACUGGGGCGGUCUCCUCCCAAAGCGUAACGGAGGAGCACGAAGGUUAGCUAAUCCUGGUCGGACAUCAGGAGGUUAGUGCAAUGGCAUAAGCUAGCUUGACUGCGAGCGUGACGGCGCGAGCAGGUGCGAAAGCAGGUCAUAGUGAUCCGGUGGUUCUGAAUGGAAGGGCCAUCGCUCAACGGAUAAAAGGUACUCCGGGGAUAACAGGCUGAUACCGCCCAAGAGUUCAUAUCGACGGCGGUGUUUGGCACCUCGAUGUCGGCUCAUCACAUCCUGGGGCUGAAGUAGGUCCCAAGGGUAUGGCUGUUCGCCAUUUAAAGUGGUACGCGAGCUGGGUUUAGAACGUCGUGAGACAGUUCGGUCCCUAUCUGCCGUGGGCGCUGGAGAAUUGAGGGGGGCUGCUCCUAGUACGAGAGGACCGGAGUGGACGCAUCACUGGUGUUCGGGUUGUCAUGCCAAUGGCACUGCCCGGUAGCUAAAUGCGGAAGAGAUAAGUGCUGAAAGCAUCUAAGCACGAAACUUGCCCCGAGAUGAGUUCUCCCUGAGACUUUAAGUCUCCUGAAGGAACGUUAAAGACGAUGACGUUGAUAGGCCGGGUGUGUAAGCGCAGCGAUGCGUUGAGCUAACCGGUACUAAUGAACCGUGAGGCUUAACCUUACAACGCCGAAG
RNAcentral lists this ribosomal RNA (2923 nucleotides) under Klebsiella pneumoniae. RNAcentral describes it as "bacterial LSU rRNA". It matches the Rfam family "Bacterial large subunit ribosomal RNA". Lineage: Bacteria; Pseudomonadati; Pseudomonadota; Gammaproteobacteria; Enterobacterales; Enterobacteriaceae. The record is from RNAcentral.